AGUUUUAUGUAUUUUUAAAACAAUUGGGUAGUUUCCUAGGUCAGACAAGAACAGAUCUAAAGGUGACAAAAAACGUUUUCUUUUUCUAUUUAACUUAUUUAUGAAAUUUAAUAAUGAAAAAUGUAAUAAAAAGUGCUACAUUUUGACACGUUUUUCUAUGAUGUCACAGGUUGCUUUUUCAUACAAAUUCCAUAGCAAGUCACUAGUAUAAUGACGUCAAAUCAAAAUGAUGUAGGUUGACUCAAUUCCAUCGCCCGUGAUUAGUUAGUAUUAAAACUAUAUAGAAACUAAUGAUACAAUGUCCAAGUACAAGACAACGAGGUUUUAUUGUAAAUGGUAACUGUUAUAUGCGACAAAUCUUGGUAUUACACCCCUAAGGCUGCCCGCCCACGUCAGCCAAUCGGCGACCGACUUUUUGUAGGAGAAAAAUAAAAUGUACUGGGGGGUUAAAAUUCAUCUAAGAAAGCAAUAUUGCUAUUUGACAUUUGUUUGCAUUGCGCACUUACUUUUACAUGCGCAUAUGUCAAAUUGCAAUAUUGCUUUCUUAGAUGAAUUGCUUCGAUGUGGCCAUCUUAACCCCCCUGCUCGCAAUAGUGCAACGCCCACGUCCUACAAAAAGUCGGUCAGAAAUAAAAUCGGUGCAUCCCGACCGAUACGAUUAUCGGUGAAAAAUGGAACGUUCGGAAAUGAGUCGGUCACAAAAUCGGGCAUAAGAAUCGCAGGAAAAAUCAGCCCGAUUAUCUGUCCUACAAAAAGUCUGACGUGGGCGGGCGCCCUUAGUUGUUACUUGCAGCCGAAGGGACGGGUACUCGACAGGCAUAACAUUUAUGGAACACACGUUAAUUUUAGGCAGAAAUUUAAAAAAAACUCCCAAAAUUUUAUAAUAACAUAACAUAAAUAGCCUGUAUGUGUCCCACUGCUGGGCACAGGCCUCCCCUCAAUCAACCGGAGGGGGUAUGGAGCAUACUCCACCACGCUGCUCCACUACGCAUUGUUCUGUGCUCAAUUUUAUAAUAUGGGCCAAUGAAAAAAUUAAAAAAAUAAGUCCUAAGAUGAAUAUGAUGAACCUUACGGUGGGUUCAGCCUACCGCCCAUAAUAAUUAUCCAUCAUGUUAAAAAGGACUCAAUCCCUCUGACGGACUUUUGAAAACUCACAUACUUUUACUAUCACAAAUUGGUACGUUGCCACAUUUUCCACACAUAAAAAUACUCAAAUGUAAUAAAAUCGGAAUAUAAAAUGUAGAUUAACGAUAACGCCAGAAGGCCAGAGUGACCAGGCACCUUCUGGGCGAGCUCGCUCCAUCUUAGGCCUCGUCAAUGUCUUCGGGCAAGUCUGGGGCCAAGAGUCAACCCGUCAAAAGUAAAAAAAAAUGGAACUCUGGGCAACAUUGAAGCAAUUCAUCUAAAAAAGCAAUAUUGCUAUUUCACAGGUUAGAUACUGCGCACUUUAUAUUGUCAAAUUGCAAUAUUGCUUUUUAGAAGAAAUGUUUCAAUGUGGCCUUUUUGGACUGAUGUUCUAAAUUUAAAUGUUUGUAAGUAAUAUAUACAUUAGACUAUAAAAUGUAUGCAUUGUUGCGUCCUUUUCAGAUUCAUAUUUUAGUCGUCCAUAUCAAGAAAUCAAAUUGGAAUUAAUCUUAUUUCUUUUUCAAGUUCAUCUUCAAUGUGAGGAUUUCUUUUUCUAUUAAUCUCAAGCGUAUUCUUCCAUUUUUUAUUAGCCAGACGUGUACCCGAUGGAGUUCAAAAUUGAGAUUAGAUUAAUAAUUUAAUAUUAAUUUGAGAAACACAAUCGUGCCGAUUCCAGCGGACGAAGAUAACUACAAUAUCUGUGGCAGCUCUAAAACGUGUCGUCCAUCACUAAUUCUUAAUGCUAGAAAGAGAUAGCGCUAGUUUUAGACCUGUCAAAUUAAAAUUAUAUUUUGGCCGCUGGAAUAGGCAUCGAAGUGUCAUAGUUCGUAAAUUGACCUACCGCACAAGAAUCUAUUUAUUGUAUCCUAUAAAACGUAACAUUAUUAGAAUGGCAACAGCACAGAGAGUAUGUCAUUCUAAUCAUCCUUCGCGGCAUGGCUAGACGCAGCGAUUGCUAUCUGCGUAGACAGACGUAGGGCUAUUGUUCGAAGCCCUCGAUAUAAUUCCGUUUACUGCGGGGUCUGCAUGACAUCUGCGCGCGGCGCGAAGUAUUACGAGCAUUUGGGCCAAUAAACGAUACGAAUGCUAUCUACGUAAAUGGACGUCAAACGGCUAUUGGUCGAAGCGCUCAGUAUACUUCGCGCCGCGCGCGGUGCAGUUGUCAUGCAGACCCAGCUGGUUACGCUAUACACGGUAUAAAUAUAGCUUGACUGGAAUGAUAGCUGUCGUAACAGUACAAUUUUUGCUCUGUAUUUCUGUCCUGCUGUCAUUUUAAUCAAGCUAUAUGUAAUGCGGUGUACGCAUGUUAUUGUGUUCUUCCCGACUAAUCUAAUCAUUGUGUAGCUUAUUAAGUAUAAUUUCGCUUUUGUAGUAUUUAGUUUUGUAUUUGGGGCUCUGUUACACGUAAUAAUUGACUAACGAAUGUCACCGGUGAAAGGGAUUGGCCUAAGUGAUGGUGAUAGUGAGGUAUGAAUAUGUUUAAAUAAUGGUAUAAGAAAACCAGGUAUGCUCAAUCCUAUGACAAGCCGCCAUUGCUAGCCCAUUGAUGACGUAAGUGUUACCAUUAAAGUGGUAUCUCCAACAUUCCAAGGACGUAAAUUUUAUUAUUGAAAAUUAAGUGAAUUAUUGACUAAUGUAAGUAUUUAAUUACUAUUAUUUGUCACAUAUAUAAAAAUCAUUAAAACUAUACGUAAAUAUUUUAUUAAAAGUAGAAAAUUUCCUUGCAAAGUAAAUUAAAAACAUUGAACGUGGGGGUAAUUUUUUUUUACGAAAUGGCAACGCUGGUUGGGAUGACGUCAGUUUUGAGCAUACCUGGAUUUGUUAUACAUGGUUUAAAUAAAGUUUGAUUAUAGAACAAUACAUUUUCCUUAUAUAGCACAUGAUAUCCGAUAUUAAUACAACUCAAAAUAACGCAGAUUCGAAAAAUAUAUCUGUCUCUCGAAUCAAAUAAUUAUUAUAUUACGUAAGCUAUAUGUCACAGAGUACAGUGUCUAUCGCAGUUGCUUGGCCAGUGCAUUUCGUUAGUAUGUAAUUUAAACUUGCCUAACAUAUUAACACGUAAGCAACCCCAAAAUUAGUAAGACUGGGUUUACUACUUUUAUAAUAAUUGGCUUUAUUUUUUUACAAAAUUCCCUAGUGUAAUUUUAUGUUUAUAUUUUAAUAUUAAUGCUAUCUGUCUAAGUGCUAUGUUGAAAUGAAAGCAAUGAAAUUAGCGUUACGACUUUGCUGUAAACUUCACUUUGUAAGUUAGGUAAUGUUUAUUAAAAUUUAUAUUAAGGAUGGUUCCGAUUUUAGAGAUACGCGUAUCUGUUAGGCAUUUAAAAUUGUGCCAUAGUUGAAAAAUGACGUCUCCUAACCAAAGUAAGUAAUAUGGUGUUGAACAUAUCUGUAUGUACGGAUGUUGGUAUGAGCAGGGUGGAGCAAAUUAAGCAUUACACUUCACUUGCGCAGUGGUGCGAUUGGUCAACUGGGGCCUUAGACAAGUUGCUUAUAACAAUCAACAGUGACAGUGAUAACAUGUAUGAGAUUGACAUCAUUGACAUAAAGCGACAGUAAUAAAAAUGUAUGAGAUUGACAUAAGGUGACAGUUAUAAAAAUGUAUGAGAUUGACAUAAGGUGACAGUUAUAAAAAUGUAUGAGAUUGACAUAAGGUGACAGUUAUAAAAAUGUAUGACAAUGACAUAAGGUGACAUUUCGAUUGUUAUAGUCGUUUUCAACUUGGCUAAAGCCCCUAGUUUCCGUCCGGUAAUUUAUAGUGACGCUUCUGACGCAUCUAAUGGGGUGGUCAGAACUACAGGUAAUCACAGGACAACUUGCGUUCACUUUUGAUUCGAAGUCCAGAUGUGGCUAUGAUGAACCGUACCAGUGCACGUUCCACGAUGUUUGUUUAUCCCAUCACUGUCAUCCAUCGCUCAAUACUUGUAUCCGUGCCUGUAUAUGUGUCUGUUGCACAAUAAAUUGUGACUUCAGUGUGUUAUUGGGUAGUUCUUGGAACACCAAAAAUAUUCUAGAACCUUUUGUCUUGAUGCAAAUAUCUACUAUGUAACCUGGGUGCCUUCAAGGCCCACAUAUUGAAAACUCACAUACUUUCCUAUCACAAAUUGGUACGUUACCACAUUUUCAUAUACACAUAAAAGUACUCAAAUGUAUUAAAAUCGGAAUAUAAAAUGUAAUGUAAAAACGCCGGAAGGCCAGAGUGAACAGGCACCUUCUGGGCGAGAUAGCUCCGGCUUAGGCCUCGUCAAUGCCAUCAGGCAAGUCUGGGGCCAAGAGCUAAACCAUCAAAGGUAAAAAAAAAUCUACUAUACGUAAGUGCUAGCUGGAUAUUUACAAAGACCAAAGUUUCUAGGAAAUGUUAUUGGUAAUGAGAUCACCCACCAGUGUUCGAAGAUCUAACCUAUUGACAUUGUCAAGCGUAGUUGUGUUUUGAAGUUGAAUGUUCUCUUAUAUCUUGGUUGUCUGUUGCGAGUUGAAAUCUGUUAUCUGCUUAUUGUGCAAUACAGAAUUAAGUUAAAUAGCUGUUCUCUCAAAUUGUUCGAAAAAGGUAAAUAAUGAGGCCGAUUCGAGCGACGAUCAACGACCAACUUGAUUUGACAGGACUAACUAGCUCAUCUCUUUCUUGUGCACCUUGUAAGUGAAGGACAGCACUAGUUUGAGCUGUCCAACUAUUAGGUUACGUUUUAGUGCGCCAUUGGUGCUGAUUCUGGUUGGUUGAUUGGGUGUUGAUUUCGGUUUGAGAGCUCUUAAAUUAAUACCGUCCUUCACUUACAAUUAGUGGAAGAAAGAGAUAGAGCUAAUUUUAUUCAUGUCAAAUGAAGUAAAAAUUAAGUUGGUUAUAUCAUUUUCUACUAUGAACAUUUUCCGUAUAUAAAUUAUACUAUAAACAUAGUAUAAGGUCAAUUCACUAUAGCAUGACUUUUAAAGAAGAUUGCGAUACGACGUUCAACAAAAAAGUAGUGCUUCCAUAACAAGCAAUCCACAAAUUAAAAAGCCAUGAAUUCUGCUCUUUUGUCUUUGAUUCCUGAUUCGGAUGACAGUAUAUCUUAUAGCUUGUUUGAUAAGUAUUCGAACUCUAGUUUUAUAAAAUGACAAAUUAAUAUAUUCUAUAAAGUUAAAUCUCUCUUCUAUCGUGUGUGUUGUAAGGUGGAUGACCAGCCUUAGCAAAACCCAGCACACCUAAGAAUCUGCAACCUUAUAAAGUUCAAUGAAAUUGAUUUUAUUUCUAGCUUUGGCUGAAGUAUGCAUUUACUAUUGUAUCGAGUUGGAGCAAUAUUUUAAGAGUAUUUCAUUAGUUCCAAUUCUAAUACAUUCGUGCCAGAACUCUAUGCGUCUUUAGGCGUACUUUACUAUUCAGGUUCAAUCCUAACCACCUUACAAAUAAAAAAAUAACCAGGGAUGAACGGGGGUUUAAGUAUUUGACAGCCAAGCAAAAUUAAAUCCAAUUAUCAUACAAUUCGACCUUUGCUUGGCUGUCAAAUACCCACGUUCAUUCCUGGUUUAUUUUUUAUUCGUAAGGUGGUUUGGGUUGAACACAUUUUAGCGUGUGAGAGAGCGCAGCAGCACUAUACACACCGCCGCCUGCAUUAACAUUUAUCUCGCUCUAGCAAAUUACGGUUCUGAAUGACAGAAAAGGAUAAAAGAUGCGGUGCGGCCAGAUAUAGUUCAACCUAUAAACGGUUCUUACUCAGUUUUAUUUUACUAUGAUAUUCAUCAUAUUCAGUGUUGUUCGAACGGGCUUUCGCAGUAUUUCUUUAAAAGCUAUGAAACUGAACCGUCAUUCACAGUUGCACUCUAGACUGCAGAGUAUAUCAAUGAAACAUUGUGAUUUAUCAUAAAAUGAAAUAUCAAGUCGAUCAUAGCGGGUGGACCCCCGGCGCAUAUCACCACACAUAGACUAAGGGAUGUUGCCAAAUGUAAAUAAUGUUAGCAUAAAUUAGGCUUAGUUUUUUUGGUCUGAAUGUCAAGAGUUUUAGCUUGUGGACACGCAUAUGAGAGACACAGAACAAAUGUACCUAUAUUAUAAUUAUAACCUUCAAAAUAGGUUGUGAAGGAAUUGAGAGUAAAUAAAGUGGAAAACACAACCAUAUAUUUUUUUUCUUAAUAAAUCAAUAACAUAUUUUUUUAAUAAGUACUUCUAGUGGAUUUAUAGUGUUUAUGGUUGCGUGUCCACAAUUUUAGACUAAUUUAUUGUUAAAGUGAAGUGAUGUAGCUGAUUGGCAGUAGCGGUGUUGUAAUGUAGCUAUAAUACUUAUAUUUUAAUUAUUUUUACCUUUACCGACAUUCUCGUGUGUGACUCCGCCGGUGAUGUUAUUAUCAUUAAUUUUUAUUAACAACAUAAAUGUCCGUUGAUAUUUAAUGUAUUAAAAUAUAUUUUCUAGACAAA
Pectinophora gossypiella (pink bollworm) is the source of this 6508-nucleotide long non-coding RNA. RefSeq lists it as uncharacterized. The transcript is spliced from 2 exons. Lineage: Eukaryota; Metazoa; Arthropoda; Insecta; Lepidoptera; Gelechiidae. The record is from RefSeq and is a predicted model, not a curated record.